Arabidopsis thaliana (thale cress) is the source of this 479-nucleotide long non-coding RNA. RefSeq annotates it as other RNA. The transcript has a single exon. NCBI's taxonomy places the organism in Eukaryota, Viridiplantae, Streptophyta, Magnoliopsida, Brassicales, Brassicaceae. The record is from RefSeq.
UUCACUUUUCUUCUUCGUCCUGUCUGCUUCUUCUUUACUCGAUUAGGGUUUUGAUUUUGGGUUCUUCGUCGAGCAAUUCGUGUAAUUGUCUUUAAGAUCAGGUGUUGAAUUGUAGCUGACGUAGCUAAUUAGGGUUUCGUCAUGCUUCGUUUGUCGAGUAUCAUCACGAAAUUAUGGUUUUUCGCGAUCGUGAUGCAAUCAAUUUUGGGGAUUUCGUUGGAAAAAUCAAAAUUUUUAAAUUUUUGAAGAACUUAAAAAUUUGGAUUUUGGAGAUCGCAGAGUGUUGAAUAAGCUUAGAUUGUGAAAGCGAUCGAUUAGUUUUAAGGUGGUUCUGUUGAUUUUUUUGUGUAAGAAGACUCUUAAUCCAACAUUUAGUGUAUGACUUGAGCAACAAGCUAAAACAAAAUUGAUUUGGUGUAUGUGCAAGUUUCAAACUUUAUUGACAAUUUUUAAUUCCUUCUUCUUCGGUGUCUUUUUCA